AUUUAAAGUCUAACCUGCCCAAUGAGUAGUUUAAUGGCCGCAGUAUUUUGACUGUGCAAAGGUAGCAUAAUCAAUAGUUUCUUAAUUAGGAGCUGGAAUGAAAGGUUGGACGAGAAAAUAACUGUCUCUUUAUUAAUUUUUUAGAAUUUUAUUUUUAAGUUAAAAAGCUUAAAUUUAUUUAAAAGACGAGAAGACCCUAUAGAGUUUUAUAUAAUUUUUUUUUAAUAAUUAAAAUUGAAUCAUUAUAAAUUUAUUACUAAUUAUAUUUAAUUGGGGUGAUUAAAAAAUUUAAGUAACUUUUUUUUUAUGGAAACAUUAAUUUAUGAGCUAUUGAUCCAUUAAUUAUGAUUAUAAGAUUAAAUUACCUUAGGGAUAACAGCGUAAUUUCUUUGAAGAGUUCAAAUCGAUAAAGAAGUUUGCGACCUCGAUGUUGGAUUAAAAUUAAUUUUUGGUGUAGAAGCUAAAAUAUUAGGUCUGUUCGACCUUUAAAAUUUUACAUGAUCUGAGUUUAAACCGGUGUGAGCCAGGUUGGUUUCUAUCUUUAAAUAAUUUAUAUUUUUUAGUACGAAAGGACCAAAUAUUUGUAAAAUUUAU
RNAcentral lists this ribosomal RNA (594 nucleotides) under Mocyta fungi. Its description in RNAcentral is "partial 16S ribosomal RNA". It matches the Rfam family "Bacterial large subunit ribosomal RNA", at positions 1845 to 2712 of the family's 2925-position model. The record is from RNAcentral. Lineage: Eukaryota; Metazoa; Arthropoda; Insecta; Coleoptera; Staphylinidae.